AAAUUGAAGAGUUUGAUCAUGGCUCAGAUUGAACGCUGGCGGCAGGCCUAACACAUGCAAGUCGAACGGUAACAGGAAGCAGCUUGCUGCUUUGCUGACGAGUGGCGGACGGGUGAGUAAUGUCUGGGAAACUGCCUGAUGGAGGGGAAACUGCCUGAUGGAGGGG
This 166-nucleotide ribosomal RNA is filed under the name Salmonella enterica. RNAcentral's name for it is "partial 16S ribosomal RNA". It matches the Rfam family "Bacterial small subunit ribosomal RNA", at positions 1 to 162 of the family's 1533-position model. Lineage: Bacteria; Pseudomonadati; Pseudomonadota; Gammaproteobacteria; Enterobacterales; Enterobacteriaceae. The record is from RNAcentral.